CUUCGGUCGUCCUGGUCAACAAACCAAAAAAUGCUUGAUGCCUCCAUCACUGGCAAAAACUAUUUGCUUGGCUAAAAUAGAAUCAAUAUACUCUUUUCGUGUUCGAUGGAAGAGAAAAAGAGACGAAGAUGGCAUGGAAUCAGUAAUAGGAUAAGCAAUUGGCUCAGGAUAGGGUUCAGCAAAAAAGUUAUCUGGAAUUGCAACCAAAUCUUUGAUAUUAAAAGUAAGGCUAUUACCAAAAUCAAAUGGAAAGUCAAUGGCAUAGGCAUCAGUACCAUCCUUGUGCAACACACUGAAUGGUCCAACAUUAAGAGACUGCACUUCCUUAAGGUUUCGGCUCUAAAGAAUUUAGAUUCAUGGACGUGCCCCGAAUGUUAGGGCGCCUCACAAACAUGGACUUGGAGACCUGCUCAUAGUUCAUUACGAAUGUAUAGGCCUGAUCUAAUGUGGACACCUCUCGAACGACAAAUUCCUUCCUAAGUUUAUCAUUAAGACCUCUACAGAACCGACUCAGGACCAUUCUCUCAUCCUCAAUCAUAUUACAUCGCAUUAUGUAUUUAUCAAAUUGUGAGAUGUAGUCAAUGGCUGAUUGGGUACCUUGUCGUAAAUUGUUCCAUCGGUUAAGAAGAUCGUCUUGGUAGCUGAGGGGCAAGUAUUUUUAUUUAAGUUUUUUCUUCAUUUCUAUCCAAUCAGUUAUGGCAGGCUGACGUCUCCUAGCCAGAAGCUGUUCAGUAUUUUGCCAGAAAAGCUUAGCUCGACCAAUGAGCUUCAUUCUGGCAAAUCGGACCUUCUUUUCAUCAGAAAAGUUGUAGCACUCAAAGAAGUGGUCCAUUUCGUGUAGCCAGUCUGAGAAAACCUUUAGGUCAAGGCGACCAUCACAGGUGGGUGUUUCAACCCUAAUGCUUUAAGCACAUCCUUAUCAUGAUUAUGGGACUCUCUAGGUUCUACGUUGUAUCGAUAACCCCUAUUGACAUUAGAAAAAGAACCCUGUCCUCUAUGACCAGGGUAGGUUUGAAGACAGCCCGAAAAAGAGCUAGUGUUGAAUUGACCUUGUCAGGCUGACCCUAGAUGGUCUAGGGUUUCAUCCUUGACCUCUGGGCUGUCCAAAUGGGAGGCACUACCUUUUUUGGAUUCCAUAAUCCUUGGAAUGCAUGACGACACUACGAAGGUGCAUAUACCGAGGGUGCUAAAUUAUGCUUGGCUCUACAAUGCUAAGACAGUAGUGAUUCUUAGGCAAACCUAAUGCAUGAAAUCAACUUAGAAUUACGUAAUAAAUCCAGACAAGUAAUUGUAGUCAAAUAGUACUAGUUAUUUAGUGUAUUGCAGGGCUGCACAAAGCCUCGAAGAACUUCCAAAGAUUGGGUACCCUACAAUUAAUAGCAAAGAUAGGCCACUAUUAGGGUUUUGGUAUUGUCUGGAGUGGGUGUGUUGAAGUUUUCAGGACGCAAUAUCAAUAGAGUACUUAAGAGUUAAUUGAUGCUAAAUUUAGACAAUAAAUAGAUUUUUCAAAAAUAGGAGGGGAAGAAACCUGACCUGGGUUGGGGCGACGAUCCGUGGCGCAGUCGUGGUAAUGAGGCUCAGCAAGGGUCCCUAACUCGGGAUCAAUCCCUGCAAUUUGGUGGGCCCAGUCAAGUUGGAUCUGAUCACAGCAACUGGUGUAGUCUGAUUGGCCUGUGAGCAAAAGAGGAGGAGGAGGUGUUGUGUGCCGCUGCAAAAGGGCCUGCUAGACCUGAUUUUUUUUUGGGGGGGGGGAUGGUGUAGGCAUAUAGAAGAAAGGGCCUGUUGGGCCUUUGAGGUGAAGAAGGGGUGGAGAGGUGGUGGAUUGGGCCUGUGUAGGGGCGAGGCGUGUGGACUGGGCCUGUGAAACGGGCGGGAUGGAGUGGGGAAAAAGGUGGGCCUGAUGAAAGGAUCGGUCCGUGAGAAGGGAGGGUGAGUUGUGGUGUGAAAAGGGGAGAAAGAGGAAGUGGAGGUGAUUGGGGGUGAGGGGCAGUGGGUUCGGGCGGCGGGUGACAGUGGUGAUGGAUGAGGUGGAUGCGAC
Molecule: long non-coding RNA, 2038 nt
Filed under: Phoenix dactylifera (date palm)
Lineage: Eukaryota; Viridiplantae; Streptophyta; Magnoliopsida; Arecales; Arecaceae
Description: long non-coding RNA (PDAC_LNC008767)
Source: RNAcentral